This 67-nucleotide transfer RNA is filed under the name Diplostomum spathaceum. Its description in RNAcentral is "tRNA-Arg". The record is from RNAcentral. Lineage: Eukaryota; Metazoa; Platyhelminthes; Trematoda; Diplostomida; Diplostomidae.
UUUGACAUUCUUAUUUAGAGUCUGUGUUUCGGCCACAGAAUCGGAAGUUCAAUUACUUCUGUCAAAU